This is a microRNA precursor of Oryza sativa Japonica Group (Japanese rice), 232 nucleotides long. It matches the Rfam family "MIR812 microRNA precursor family". The record is from Rfam. NCBI's taxonomy places the organism in Eukaryota, Viridiplantae, Streptophyta, Magnoliopsida, Poales, Poaceae.
UUUAAAUGCAACCAUGAGUUUCCGUGCCUAACUUUGAUCGUCCGUUAUAUUUGAAAUUUUUUUAUAAUUAGUAUUAUUUGAAAAAUUUUUAUAAUUAGUAUUUUUGUUGUUAUGAAAUGAUAAAAUAUGAAUAUUACUUUGCUCGUAACUUAUGUUUUCAAAUUUUUUUCAAAAUUUUUCAAAUAAGAUAGAAGAUCAAAAUUGGACGCGGAAAACUAUGAAUACACUUAUA